RNAcentral lists this ribosomal RNA (94 nucleotides) under Cyrtopodium punctatum. RNAcentral's name for it is "5.8S ribosomal RNA". It matches the Rfam family "5.8S ribosomal RNA", at positions 1 to 89 of the family's 154-position model. Rfam says of the family: 5.8S ribosomal RNA (5.8S rRNA) is a component of the large subunit of the eukaryotic ribosome. It is transcribed by RNA polymerase I as part of the 45S precursor that also contains 18S and 28S rRNA. Functionally, it is thought that 5.8S rRNA may be involved in ribosome translocation. Lineage: Eukaryota; Viridiplantae; Streptophyta; Magnoliopsida; Asparagales; Orchidaceae. The record is from RNAcentral.
GACACGACUCUUGAUAAUGGAUAUCUCGGGUCUCGCAUCGAUGAAGAGCACAGUGAAAUGCGAUAAGUGGUGCGAAUUACAGAAUCUCACGAAC